RNAcentral lists this long non-coding RNA (625 nucleotides) under Myripristis murdjan (pinecone soldierfish). RNAcentral describes it as "lncRNA (ENSMMDG00005019550.1)". Lineage: Eukaryota; Metazoa; Chordata; Actinopteri; Holocentriformes; Holocentridae. The record is from RNAcentral.
GAAGCGAGGCAGCUGAUUGGAUGGAGCCGUUGGACCUGGACGACGGCGACGACAGACGUCCAGUCAGGCGGUUCGUGAAGAAACUUCAGGUUAAAUAUCAGGGCGAAGCUGCAGACUCCGCCCCCAACGGGAAACGCCGCGGAGGGAGGCGGGGCCACAGGAGGAAGUCACUACACAAACACAACAACAAUGACAACAACAGCAACGACAACAACGACAACAACGACAACAGCCUCCUCAGCCAAUCAGACUUCACAGACCACAACUACACCAAGACUCUGCUGCUCCAGGACGGCGACGCCUUCGCCGCCGCGCCGCCAGCCGGCAGCCAAUCAGAGGAGGCCAAGCCUGUGGUGAGCUCAGAUCAGGUUUCCUCCAGUCCCUGCUACCGCUAUGAGCCCAACCCUGCUGAGGCCUGCUCCUCCUUCUGCUCAGCCGACACACAGAAACCUACCAGCAUCGUGUUCAGGAAGGUGGGGGAUGACAGCUGGGUGCUGGGGAGGUCAGAGGUCAAACAGGAAGAAGGAGGCAGCGUCAUGGACACCAGGCAGGUCAGUCACAGAAAUAUACCAGGACUGUGACGAUCUGUUUAUCUACUGAUUUAUUUAUUGCGGUAUUGUUUUUU